Acipenser ruthenus (sterlet) is the source of this 484-nucleotide long non-coding RNA. RefSeq lists it as uncharacterized. The record is from RefSeq and is a predicted model, not a curated record. The transcript is spliced from 4 exons. NCBI's taxonomy places the organism in Eukaryota, Metazoa, Chordata, Actinopteri, Acipenseriformes, Acipenseridae.
CAGAUAAUGAUUGGGAUUGUAAAUGCUGUACUGGGGGGUAUAAUGUAUGCGCAUGGACACACGGCCAGCACAAUAUUCGGCUGGACCAGCGCACUGUUCAUUAUUUCCGGAGCUCUCUCUGUUGCUGCAUGCAAAGCUGGAAACGUAUGUCUUGUGAGGGCGUCUUCAUGCAUGAACACCAUCAGUUACAUACUGGCAACAACUGCAAUUGCCUACUUAAUAUAUAUUGUUUCUGAUGACCCGAUCCCAUAUUGCAGAUCUGAAUCUUCACCCGAAUGCCAGAAUGAAAUCAUUUUGAAGAAGACUCUAAGAGGGAUCGAGAUUCUGAUGCUUAUUUUACACAUUAUGGAGCUUUUCCUUCUCCUAGCCACUUAUAAGUCCUGUGUCGGGACAGCUUUGUUAUACUGGUAUGCUGUGUGUGUGUCUGUCUGUCCUGCUAGGGUUUCUGCCUGUCCUGCUUGGGUUUCUGCCUGUCCUGCUAGGG